GGGGGGCUUGGGUGGACCCUAGGAAGUAAAAAGAAUAAAAUGGGUUGCCCUCUACGUUGAGGCCAAAAAAUAAAAGUCCCAAAAUGCAGAAGUCGCGCUCAGCGCCCCUCAAUAGGGCGUUGAGCGCCAUGCGUGACUUGCCUCCUCUUCUCUUUUUGGCUGUUCUUGGGUGUUCUUAGUCAAGGUCCCUCAAUUUCAACUCCAAAAUUUUCACAUUUCAGCUAUCUUUUCCCUAACUCACGCAUCAACACUCAGUUCAAACAAUUAAUCUCUCAACACCCCACAAACAUUCAUUAACCCACACAUACUAUGUACACUAAAAUAGAACAAAUAAUCAAUCAACCAACAGAAAAAAAAAAACAAAUAAUCCUAAGACUAAGUUCAACUCAAAUAGCAAAAAUCCAAACCAAAGAAAUAAUAAACAACUUAAAGAAUUUUAAAAACACUGGGUUGCCUCCCAGUAAGCGCUUCUUUAACGUCAUUAGAUAGACACCGUCAAAGCUCACGUCAUAUCUUUAAUCUUGGUGUUUUCUUUUCUUACUCCGCACCAACUUAUCUGCAACAACUUCCUUUUCACCUUCUUGACUCUUCUGGAAAUUGGAGAUUCAAUCUCUAUCAAUCCAUCAGCUUUAAGUUCCUUCACAAUCCAUAAUUUGUUGUUGAAUCUCACUAGUUUGUCUGGUCUCAAUUCUUCAUGUUUAUCCUUCGAGUCUUGAUGAAAUUUUUUCCUUUGUUGUCUUUUUCUUCCUCUCUUACUUGUGACAAAAAACAAUUUUUACCUUUCUUGCCUGACUUUGCAGCUUUUGUACUAGUCACUGGUGCAUCUUCAUAUGUAGCUUUGAGACUAGUCUUCUUCACUUGGAUUUUUUGCUAAGUAUUGAAGACGUUGAACAUCACCUCCUCUUCUUGGUCUUUGAGCGCUAUAGUUCCAUCAUCAACAUUGAUUAUAACCUUGGCCGUUUUCAUGAAUGACCUUCCAAGAAUAAUAGGGAUCUCCACAUCUUCCCCAUCUCCAUUACCACAAAGUCCACUAAGGUUGUCUAUUCGAACCACCACAUCUUCCGCCACACC
RNAcentral lists this long non-coding RNA (1071 nucleotides) under Vigna radiata. Its description in RNAcentral is "long non-coding RNA (VRAD_LNC013824)". The record is from RNAcentral. Lineage: Eukaryota; Viridiplantae; Streptophyta; Magnoliopsida; Fabales; Fabaceae.